GAUGAACGCUAGCGGCAGGCCUAAUACAUGCAAGUCGGACGGGAUUCAGGAGCUUGCUUCUGAUGAGAGUGGCGCACGGGUGCGUAACACGUAUGUAACCUACCUUUAUCAGGGGGAUAGCCUCUCGAAAGAGAGAUUAAGCCCGCAUAAAAUCACAGCACAGCAUUGUGUAAUGAUCAAAUAUUUAUAGGAUAAAGAUGGGCAUGCGGAACAUUAGCUAGAUGGCGGGGUAACGGCCCACCAUGGCGACGAUGUUUAGGGGAUCUGAGAGGAUGGCCCCCCACACUGGUACUGAGACACGGAACAGACUCCUACGGGAGGCAGCAGUAAGGAAUAUUGGUCAAUGGGCGGAAGCCUGAACCAGCCAUGCCGCGUGCAGGAAGACGGCCCUACGGGUUGUAAACUGCUUUUAUACGGGAAUAAACCCAGAUACGUGUAUCUGGCUGAAUGUACUGUAAGAAUAAGGAUCGGCUAACUCCGU
RNAcentral lists this ribosomal RNA (481 nucleotides) under uncultured bacterium. RNAcentral describes it as "partial 16S ribosomal RNA". It matches the Rfam family "Bacterial small subunit ribosomal RNA", at positions 28 to 506 of the family's 1533-position model. The record is from RNAcentral.